RNAcentral lists this ribosomal RNA (432 nucleotides) under uncultured bacterium. RNAcentral describes it as "partial 16S ribosomal RNA". It matches the Rfam family "Bacterial small subunit ribosomal RNA", at positions 29 to 506 of the family's 1533-position model. The record is from RNAcentral.
AAUGAACGCUGGCGGCAUGCCUAACACAUGCAAGUCGAACGAGACCUUCGGGUCUAGUGGCGCACGGGUGCGUAACGCGUGGGAACCUGCCUUUAGGUUCGGAAUAACUCAGAGAAAUUUGAGCUAAUACCGGAUGAUGUCUUCGGACCAAAGAUUUAUCGCCUUUAGAUGGGCCCGCGUUGGAUUAGCUAGUUGGUGGGGUAAAGGCCUACCAAGGCGACGAUCCAUAGCUGGUCUGAGAGGAUGAUCAGCCACACUGGGACUGAGACACGGCCCAGACUCCUACGGGAGGCAGCAGUGGGGAAUAUUGGACAAUGGGCGAAAGCCUGAUCCAGCAAUGCCGCGUGAGUGAUGAAGGCCUUAGGGUUGUAAAGCUCUUUUACCCGAGAUGAUAAUGACAGUAUCGGGAGAAUAAGCUCCGGCUAACUCCGU